This 245-nucleotide unclassified non-coding RNA is filed under the name uncultured fungus. Its description in RNAcentral is "partial contains 5.8S ribosomal RNA, internal transcribed spacer 2, and large subunit ribosomal RNA". The record is from RNAcentral. Lineage: Eukaryota; Fungi.
AACGCACAUUGCGCCCUUUGGCAUUCCGAAGGGCAUGCCUGUUCGAGCGUCAUUACACCUCUCAACCGGUUGUGGUUGAUGUUGGGUGGACCGGUCGGUCGACCUUAAAAUCAGUGACGGUUUUUCCGAAUCUCAGACGUACAAGUUCGUGAUGAGAGGAAGGAACAACCGCCGACGGGGCUCCGGCGGGAGCUGGCAUUAUCAAUGUUGACCUCGGAUCAGGUAGGGAUACCCGCUGAACUUAA